Stegodyphus mimosarum is the source of this 73-nucleotide non-coding RNA. NCBI's taxonomy places the organism in Eukaryota, Metazoa, Arthropoda, Arachnida, Araneae, Eresidae. The record is from Rfam.
GCCUUCGUGGUAUAGUGGUCAUCACGCUCGACGCAUAAUCGAAAGGUCCGUGGUUCGAAUCCCGGCGACGACA